Molecule: non-coding RNA, 80 nt
Organism: Rhizophagus clarus
Lineage: Eukaryota; Fungi; Glomeromycota; Glomeromycetes; Glomerales; Glomeraceae
Source: the annotation of a GenBank genome assembly
GCCUAGUUAGUUCAAUUGGUUAGAACACCACACCUCAUGACCUGAAUCGUGGAAAUGCAGGUUCAAUUCCUGCACUAGGC